RNAcentral lists this transfer RNA (91 nucleotides) under Hyaloscypha hepaticicola. Its description in RNAcentral is "tRNA-Val". Lineage: Eukaryota; Fungi; Ascomycota; Leotiomycetes; Helotiales; Hyaloscyphaceae. The record is from RNAcentral.
GGUCGGGUGGUGUAGUUGGUUAUCACAUCUCGUUAACAUUUGUUUAACAUAAAUACCGAGAAGGUCCUGGGAUCGAGCCCCAGCCUGAUCA